CGAAUUGUCAAAGGGGAGUAGCGUUAGAUGUGUUAUACAUCUAAAACAAAGUCGUCAUUCCAUGGAUGAAUUCCAUCGGCUUUGUUGGCAUAAUUUAUGUC
RNAcentral lists this small RNA (101 nucleotides) under Bacillus sp. (in: firmicutes). RNAcentral's name for it is "Bacillus sp. Manganese sequence". It matches the Rfam family "Manganese Mn2+ riboswitch aptamer (yybP-ykoY)". From Rfam's summary of the family: This RNA was originally discovered in E. coli during a large scale screen and was named SraF. The family was later found to exist upstream of related families of protein genes in many bacteria, including the the yybP and ykoK genes in B. subtilis. The record is from RNAcentral. Lineage: Bacteria; Bacillati; Bacillota; Bacilli; Caryophanales; Bacillaceae.